UACGGGGGGUGCGAGCGUUGUCCGGAAUCACUGGGCGUAAAGGGCGCGUAGGUGGUUUGAUAAGGGUGUGGUGAAAGUCCGGGGCUCAACCCCGGAUCUGCCGUGCCGACUGUCAAACUCGAGGACUGUAGAGGCAGACGGAAUUCCGGGUGUAGCGGUGGAAUGCGUAGAGAUCCGGAGGAAGACCGGUGGCGAAGGCGGUCUGCUGGGCAGUUUCUGACACUGAGGCGCGACAGCGUUGGGAGCAAACAG
RNAcentral lists this ribosomal RNA (252 nucleotides) under uncultured bacterium. RNAcentral describes it as "partial 16S ribosomal RNA". It matches the Rfam family "Bacterial small subunit ribosomal RNA", at positions 524 to 775 of the family's 1533-position model. The record is from RNAcentral.